GUAGGGUGCAAGCGUUGUCCGGAAUUAUUGGGCGUAAAGAGCUCGUAGGCGGUUUGUCGCGUCUGCUGUGAAAUCCCGAGGCUCAACCUCGGGUCUGCAGUGGGUACGGGCAGACUAGAGUGCGGUAGGGGAGAUUGGAAUUCCUGGUGUAGCGGUGGAAUGCGCAGAUAUCAGGAGGAACACCGAUGGCGAAGGCAGAUCUCUGGGCCGCUACUGACGCUGAGGAGCGAAAGGGUGGGGAGCAAACAGGCUUAGAUACCCUGGUAGUCCACCCCGUAAACGUUGGGCGCUAGAUGUGGGGACCAUUCCACGGUUUCCGUGUCGUAGCUAACGCAUUAAGCGCCCCGCCUGGGGAGUACGGCCGCAAGGCUA
RNAcentral lists this ribosomal RNA (372 nucleotides) under uncultured bacterium. RNAcentral's name for it is "bacterial SSU rRNA". It matches the Rfam family "Bacterial small subunit ribosomal RNA", at positions 527 to 896 of the family's 1533-position model. The record is from RNAcentral.